Molecule: ribosomal RNA, 645 nt
Filed under: Triticum aestivum (bread wheat)
Lineage: Eukaryota; Viridiplantae; Streptophyta; Magnoliopsida; Poales; Poaceae
Description: partial small subunit ribosomal RNA
Source: RNAcentral
UCGAUAUGCAGCAUCUGCGGUAACGGCGAGGAAGAUGAAUACCAUGCAGUGGUCACAUGUUCAAAGAGCAGAGCACUUCGAGAGGCCAUGAGGAAGGAGUGGGCUUUACCUUCAGAGAAAUCUUUCAGAAACACAGGAGGAGACUGGCUGCAGGUGCUGUUGGAUACUGUACCAGAGGACAUACGUGGAAAAAUUCUGCUGCUGCUAUGGAGAUGUUGGCACCUACGAGAAGACAGCAUACGAAAUGAUGGUAAAGAAUCUAUUUCGGGAUCGGUGCAAUUCCUGAAGAAGUAUGCAGAGGAGCUAAAAAUGGCAACGAUGGCUGGGGAUGUACUCAAUGCAGGUGCAGUUGACCGACCACGCUGUCCCACAAAGCAACAGAUACAGUGGUCGUGUCCUGUACGAGGUACAGUCAAGCUAAACACCGACGCUGCUUUUCAGACAGAGACUGGAGAAUCUACUGCUGGAGCAGUUGCCAGGGACAGCAGAGGCCUUGUGGUGGUGUCGGUUUGCAGAAAUCUGUCCCUCUGCCAGAGCGUGGAGGAAGCCGAGGCAAAAGCUGCACUUGCCGGACUGCAGGCUCUAACGAAAUACUCCCUCCGUUUUAAAUUACUCGUCGCAGAAAUGGAUGUAUCUAGAACUUAA